RNAcentral lists this ribosomal RNA (505 nucleotides) under uncultured bacterium. RNAcentral's name for it is "partial 16S ribosomal RNA". It matches the Rfam family "Bacterial small subunit ribosomal RNA", at positions 28 to 507 of the family's 1533-position model. The record is from RNAcentral.
GACGAACGCUGGCGGCGUGCCUAAUACAUGCCAGUAGAACGCACAGUUUAUACCGUAGCUUGCUACACCAUAGACUGUGAGUUGCGAACGGGUGAGUAACGCGUAGGUAACCUGCCUGGUAGCGGGGGAUAACUAUUGGAAACGAUAGCUAAUACCGCAUAAUAUUGAUUAUUGCAUGAUAAUUGAUUGAAAGAUGCUAUUGCAUCACUACCAGAUGGACCUGCGUUGUAUUAGCUAGUAGGUGAGGUAACGGCUCACCUAGGCGACGAUACAUAGCCGACCUGAGAGGGUGAUCGGCCACACUGGGACUGAGACACGGCCCAGACGCCUACGGGAGGCAGCAGUAGGGAAUCUUCGGCGAUGGACGAAAGUCUGACCGAGCAACGCCGCGUGAGUGAAGAAGGGUUUCGGAUAGUAAAGCUCUGUUGUAAGAGAAGAACGGGGGUGAGAGUGGAAAGUUCACACUGUGACGGUAUCUUACCAGAAAGGGACGGCUAACUACGUG